GAUGAACGCUGGCGGCGUGCUUAACACAUGCAAGUCGAACGAAGCAUUUAAGACAGAUUACUUCGGUUUGAAGUCUUUUAUGACUGAGUGGCGGACGGGUGAGUAACGCGUGGGUAACCUGCCUCAUACAGGGGGAUAGCAGCUGGAAACGGCUGGUAAUACCGCAUAAGCGCACAGUACCACAUGGUACAGUGUGAAAAACUCCGGUGGUAUGAGAUGGACCCGCGUCUGAUUAGCUUGUUGGCGGGGUAACGGCCCACCAAGGCGACGAUCAGUAGCCGAUCUGAGAGGGUGACCGGCCACAUUGGGACUGAGACACGGCCCAGACUCCUACGGGAGGCAGCAGUGGGGAAUAUUGCACAAUGGAGGAAACUCUGAUGCAGCGACGCCGCGUGAGUGAAGAAGUAGUUCGCUAUGUAAAGCUCUAUCAGCAGGGAAGAUAGUGACGGUAC
This 452-nucleotide ribosomal RNA is filed under the name uncultured bacterium. RNAcentral's name for it is "bacterial SSU rRNA". It matches the Rfam family "Bacterial small subunit ribosomal RNA", at positions 28 to 478 of the family's 1533-position model. The record is from RNAcentral.